This is an RNA transcript of Acinonyx jubatus (cheetah), 2293 nucleotides long. It is a transcript of the gene named aldo-keto reductase family 1 member E2, with no coding region annotated. The record is from RefSeq and is a predicted model, not a curated record. Lineage: Eukaryota; Metazoa; Chordata; Mammalia; Carnivora; Felidae. The transcript is spliced from 10 exons.
AUGUUCAUUUGAGAAGUCACUUAAGAAGCUACCAGAUGAGUAGGCAUUGGAAUCAUCAACCCCUGCUCAUCAAAACAGCAGCUCCGGGCGAGGUGGCGGAGGCAGUGAAAGUGGCGAUAGACGCGGGGUUCCGGCACUUUGACUGCGCUUACUUGUACCACAACGAGAGUGAGGUCGGAGCCGGGAUCCAGUGCAAGAUCAAGGAGGGCGUGGUGACCCGGCAGGACCUGUUUGUCGUCAGUAAGCUCUGGUGCACCAGACAUGAGAAGUCCUUGGUGAAGGCGGCCUGCACCAAGAGUCUCAAGGCCUUGAAGCUGGAUUACCUGGACCUCUACCUCAUGCACUGGCCCAUGGGCUUCAAGCCCGGGGAGGAAGACCUGCCCCUGGACCGCAACGGCAUGGUGCUGCCCAGCGACACGGACUUCCUGGACACGUGGGAGGCCAUGGAGGACCUGGUGGUCACGGGGCUGGUGAGAGCCAUCGGGGUGUCAAACUUCAACCACCAGCAGCUCGAGAGGCUUUUGAAUAAACCCAACCUGAGGUUCAAGCCACUGACGAACCAGGUCGAGUGCCACCCGUAUCUUACCCAGAAGAAUCUGAUCAACUUUUGCCAAUCCAGAGAUGUGACCGUGACAGCCUACCGGCCCCUCGGCGGUUCCAGUGAGGGGGUGGCCCUCCUGGAUGACCCCGUGAUUCAGAGGAUCGCACAGAAGUACAACAGGUCUCCCGCCCAGAUUGUGAUCCGAUUUCAGAUCCAGAGGAAUGUGAUCGUGAUUCCCAAAUCUGUCACCCCAACACGGAUCCGUGAGAAUAUCCAGGAAAGGGUUCUUUUCUUCUUUUAUUCGGAGGGUUUGGGAUCACACGGUAGUCAGCUGGGGGUCUGACCACCGCGCAAGCAGGCCCUGUGUGGCUUUGACGCAGCAGAGGGGCCGGGUGGAGCUGCGGCCACAGCACGAGGAACCCCAGAGUGUGACAGGCACGAACCCAGCCCGGGAGCCGGCGAACAGGAGGUCCCGAACAGCCGGGGUGCCGGCCAGAGGCUCGCAGGGCUGUGGCCCCGAGCCGGGUGCCUGCUCCCCAAGUCUCAGGACCGCUGCGCCCGGCUGCCCAGACCCGGAUUCGUGGGGCCCUUCCAGAACCGAAGGCCGCCCUCCAGUCCGAGCCUCUGCUGACACCGAGCCCUUGGUUUCUGCUAGACCGGGUGGAGGGUCUCCUGUGGGUAGAGGCUGGGCCCGGCCGGUCCCCUCCCGGGGGUCGCUGCACCCUCCCUCCCGGCUCCUCAGCUGGGGACCGGGGCUGGCUCUCCUGUGAGAACAGAUCGUGUUUCAGGAGUGGGGGUCAUAGUCCUCACAGGUAUUAGGAGCAAAGGGGCGCAGCUUAGAAUUCUGCUUUAUGAGGAAAGAAACAAGAAUUACCCUGUGUUCUGGCUACUGUCAGAGCCAGUGGUCCCGGGGACCCAGUGUCCGAGCUGGGAGGGCCUGGGGCACGAAUGUUUCUGGUGUUUCACUUUCAUUUGGUUUUGGAGGGGUUUUUUGGUGUUUUUCAUUUUUGGGGGGGGUUCUUUUUUUGCGUUUUUUGUUUUGUUUUUGAGCGACGGGAAAAAUUCUUUGCUCACCUCCCACCUCUUGAUUCCGGCUCGUCCCUUAUUCCCCUCGGGGUGGGGGGGACUGCAGUACACGUCCUGUCUUUGCAGGGGCUCUCACCCAGCCCAGGGCAGCCAGCGUCAGGCACAGGGUCACAGCCGCAGUUCACGGAGGAAGGCUGAUGAUCCGGGGAAGUUGCAGGUGCCGCGUGCAGUGUUUCUUCCGCAUCUUGUGUCCCCGGCAGGUGUUUGACUUUGAAUUAUCAGAAAGGGACAUGAACGACAUCCUCGACCUGGACAGGAAUUUCCGAAUGUGCACCUUGCCCACAGCUAAAAACCACAAGGACUAUCCUUUCAACAUAGAAUACUGAGCACGGCCUCCCUCUUCCCCCCCUGCCCGGCCCAACGGGUCCAUGAGGCCCGAGCCGAGGCAGGGCUCUGCCAGGGAGGUGGGGGCGACCGGCUUUGACUUGGGCGGAUUCCUGCCUGGAACAGAGCUGCGCUCCCUGAGAGGUCCACACAGUUCCGGCGGUGGGUGAUGGGAAGGGAGCCGCCCUGGGAGCGGUGCUCGCUCUCUGUGGAGAACCCCCCAGUCCUACGGCUCCUUGAGCACAGUGUGACAGGAUUUUGACCAGACAGGCUGUGUGGCGGGCCUCUACCCUCGGAAAAAAGGUUGUAUUAUGGAAAUAUUUAAAUACAGGAUUUGAGACC